CAGCGGACCUUUCAUUUUUUUUAAAAAAAAAAAGAAAAACCUAAACCGUGAAUGCUCUCUGCGCCACUCAAAGGCUCUCCGAUCCCUCGCCCGACUCUGAUUACGACGGAGUGAGCGACGGUCCGGCUAUCAGGUAAUCUCUUUGCUCUCUAAUCUCUCUCUUUUAUUCCUUUUUUACUCAAAUAAUGAACUAAACAAAAACCAGAUGCGAAGGAAAAAUUUCAUUCACCUUUAAAACUCUGUUUUUCCUUUGAAUAUUUUUUUUCUUUCAAUAUCUGCUUCUGUGUCCAUCGUUUUCAGUAUUCCAAUGGCUUUUUUAUAGCCGAAAAUUGCAAAAUAAAUAAUAAUAAUAACAAUCUAAAAAUCCAAUCCGUUCUCCGUUUCUGUUAUUUCUUUCGCUGCUCUUGUGUGUGUAUUUUGCAGGUACAUGCUGGCGUGGAGAUGGCGCACACGCGCGGAGGUGCAACACGCGCGGGGAUCUGGUUCGAAUUUGCCUAUGACGCAGAAGCAGAAGCCUGCUGUUGCUGCUGCACCAGGAAAAUCUAGAAACCCCUAGGGUUUUUGAAUUUGGGCCGUUUGGGCCAUUAUAAUCGGGCUAUUUUUUAGGUAAAUGAUUUGGGCUAUGUAUUUGGAUAUGGAUUUAGUAUUUGGGUUAGUUUGGGUUUAGGUAUUAUUGUUUUUUUAAUUUCGGUAAUUGGGCUAAAAACUUGGAUUUAUUUGGAUGUAAAUGGACAAUGGACUUUAUUUGUUGUUUUUUUAUUUAUUUUUUGGUUUUAUAUUUGAUUUAUUUUCUGUUUGUUUUUCGGCCGGGCAAAUUUGGGUAUUACAAAUGUAACCAAUCUAAAUAUUGGAACCACAACCUUUGGCAAAAUUAUUUCAUAACAAUAUAAAAUAAUAAAUUUAAACAACC
RNAcentral lists this long non-coding RNA (910 nucleotides) under Gossypium barbadense (sea-island cotton). RNAcentral's name for it is "long non-coding RNA (GBAR_LNC014828)". The record is from RNAcentral. Lineage: Eukaryota; Viridiplantae; Streptophyta; Magnoliopsida; Malvales; Malvaceae.